GUUUCUUUCUCCGUUGAGGUAACAAAUUUUACAUCUGGAGGUCCAAAAUUCUGGCAGAAAUUUAUCCGGCCAAGUUUUUCAAUUUAUCCAAAUGCCUCUAGGCAAGCCGUUGAAGGAGUUUUUUAAACCAGUUGAUGAAGGGUCUGUCAAACAUGUCCCAUGUUCAACAGGGGAAUCACUGCCAGAAAAUGCUGUUGAAGGUGGAUAUGAUAACGGACCAUCUUACCACGGGAGAGGAAUUGUUUCGGAGAAAACAAUUCCAGGCAAGGUCGGAGUAGAUUCGCCUAGAAAUGGCCGUUUGAAAGGGGCGUGCAUUCCUUACGGAUCUAAAGAGCACCGCGUCCACACAUUCGAGGUGCUCACAUCAACAUCGAAAACAUCCUAUGUG
RNAcentral lists this long non-coding RNA (388 nucleotides) under Dendronephthya gigantea. Its description in RNAcentral is "uncharacterized LOC114535548, transcript variant X3". Lineage: Eukaryota; Metazoa; Cnidaria; Anthozoa; Malacalcyonacea; Nephtheidae. The record is from RNAcentral.